Molecule: small nuclear RNA, 107 nt
Filed under: Chinchilla lanigera (long-tailed chinchilla)
Lineage: Eukaryota; Metazoa; Chordata; Mammalia; Rodentia; Chinchillidae
Source: RNAcentral
GUGCUCGCUUAGGCAACACAUAUACUAAAAUUGGAGCAAUACAGAGAAGAUUAACAUGGCCCCUGCACAAGAAUGACACACAGAGUCAAGACAGUUAACUACUUGUC